CUAGCAUAUCAAUAAGCGGAGGAAAAGAAACCAACAGGGAUUGCCCUAGUAACGGCGAGUGAAGCGGCAACAGCUCAAAUUUGAAAUCUGGCGUCUUCGGCGUCCGAGUUGUAAUUUGCAGAGGGCGCUUUGGCAUUGGCAGCGGUCCAAGUUCCUUGGAACAGGACGUCACAGAGGGUGAGAAUCCCGUACGUGGUCGCUAGCCUUUACCGUGUAAAGCCCCUUCGACGAGUCGAGUUGUUUGGGAAUGCAGCUCUAAAUGGGAGGUAAAUUUCUUCUAAAGCUAAAUACUGGCCAGAGACCGAUAGCGCACAAGUAGAGUGAUCGAAAGAUGAAAAGCACUUUGGAAAGAGAGUUAAAAAGCACGUGAAAUUGUUGAAAGGGAAGCGCUUGCAGCCAGACUUGCCUGUAGUUGCUCAUCCGGGUUUUUACCCGGUGCACUCUUCUAUAGGCAGGCCAGCAUCAGUUUGGGCGGUUGGAUAAAGGUCUCUGUCAUGUACCUCUCUUCGGGGAGAACUUAUAGGGGAGACGACAUGCAACCAGCCUGGACUGAGGUCCGCGCAUCUGCUAGGAUGCUGGCGUAAUGGCUGUAAGCGGCCCGUCUUGAAACACGGACCAAGGAGUCUAACAUCUAUGCGAGUGUUUGGGUGUCAAGCCCGAGCGCGUAAUGAAAGUGAACGGAGGUGGGAACCUUUCGGGGUGCACCAUCGACCGAUCCUGAUGUCUUCGGAUGGAUUUGAGUAAGAGCAUAGCUGUUGGGACCCGAAAGAUGGUGAACUAUGCUUGAAUAGGGUGAAGCCAGAGGAAACUCUGGUGGAGGCUCGCAGCGGUUCUGACGUGCAAAUCGAUCGUCAAAUUUGGGCAUAGGGGCGAAAGACUAAUCGAACUAUCUAGUAGCUGGUUCCUGCCGA
RNAcentral lists this ribosomal RNA (911 nucleotides) under Didymella glomerata. Its description in RNAcentral is "LSU rRNA". It matches the Rfam family "Eukaryotic large subunit ribosomal RNA", at positions 34 to 964 of the family's 3401-position model. Lineage: Eukaryota; Fungi; Ascomycota; Dothideomycetes; Pleosporales; Didymellaceae. The record is from RNAcentral.